CGCAAAUUGCGCCCUUUGGUAUUCCGAAGGGCAUGCCUGUUUGAGUGUCAUAUAGACUUCACCCAACUGUUUUGUAAUGAAUCGGUUGUUAAUGGUGCUUUGGACGUUUUUGCCAUUAGCCUGGCUCGUCUUAAAUGUUUUAGUGAAAUGGCGUGAUAAGUUAAUCGCCUUGACCUUCACUCUAAUCAAUCUAUUUAAUCUUUGACCUCAAAUCAGGUAGGACUACCCGCUGAACUUAA
Molecule: unclassified non-coding RNA, 239 nt
Filed under: Derxomyces sp.
Lineage: Eukaryota; Fungi; Basidiomycota; Tremellomycetes; Tremellales; Bulleribasidiaceae
Description: partial contains 5.8S ribosomal RNA, internal transcribed spacer 2, and large subunit ribosomal RNA
Rfam family: 5.8S ribosomal RNA (bases 1-50)
Source: RNAcentral